UGGGGAAUAUUGCACAAUGGGCGAAAGCCUGAUGCAGCGACGCCGCGUGAGGGAUGACGGCCUUCGGGUUGUAAACCUCUUUCAGCAGGGACGAAGCGCAAGUGACGGUACCUGCAGAAGAAGCACCGGCUAACUACGUGCCAGCAGCCGCGGUAAUACGUAGGGUGCAAGCGUUGCCCGGAUUUAUUGGGCGUAAAGCGGGCGCAGGCGGUUCUUUAAGUCUGAAGUUAAAGGCAGUGGCUUAACCAUUGUACGCUUUGGAAACUGGAGGACUUGAGUGCAGAAGGGGAGAGUGGAAUUCCAGGUGUAGUGGUGAAAUGCGUAGAUAUAUGGAGGAACACCGGUGGCGAAAGCGGCUCUCUGGUCUGUAACUGACGAUGAGGCUCGAAAGCGUGGGGAGCAAACAGG
This 408-nucleotide ribosomal RNA is filed under the name Bacillota bacterium. RNAcentral's name for it is "Firmicutes bacterium partial 16S ribosomal RNA". It matches the Rfam family "Bacterial small subunit ribosomal RNA", at positions 355 to 776 of the family's 1533-position model. The record is from RNAcentral. Lineage: Bacteria; Bacillati; Bacillota.